Molecule: ribosomal RNA, 520 nt
Filed under: Cynopotamus sp.
Lineage: Eukaryota; Metazoa; Chordata; Actinopteri; Characiformes; Characidae
Description: partial large subunit ribosomal RNA
Rfam family: Bacterial large subunit ribosomal RNA
Source: RNAcentral
AGAGGUCUCACCUGCCCAGUGACUAAAGUUUAACGGCCGCGGUAUUUUGACCGUGCUAAGGUAGCGCAAUCACUUGUCUUUUAAAUGAGGACCCGUAUGAAUGGUGGAACGAGGGCUUAACUGUCUCCCUUUUUAGGUCAGUGAAAUUGAUCUGCCCGUGCAGAAGCGGGCAUAAAUAUACAAGACGAGAAGACCCUUUGGAGCUUAAGAUAUAAGAUCAACUAUGUCAAAUACCCUUAUAAAAAGGAAUAAAACAUAAUAACAACUGAUCAGCAUCUUCGGUUGGGGCGACCACGGGGGAAAAAAAAGCCCCCACGUAGAUUGGGAAUACCUAAAACUAUGAGGGACACCUCUAAGCUACAGAACAUCUGACUAUAAAGAUCCGGCCUUACAGCCGAUCAACGAACCAAGUUACCCUAGGGAUAACAGCGCAAUCCCCUCCAAGAGUCCAUAUCGACAAGGGGGUUUACGACCUCGAUGUUGGAUCAGGACAUCCUAAUGGUGCAGCCGCUAUUAAGGG